This 154-nucleotide ribosomal RNA is filed under the name Valencia letourneuxi. Its description in RNAcentral is "partial 16S ribosomal RNA". The record is from RNAcentral. Lineage: Eukaryota; Metazoa; Chordata; Actinopteri; Cyprinodontiformes; Valenciidae.
GUAAUCCAGGUCAGUUUCUAUCUAUGAAGUACUCCCCCCUAGUACGAAAGGACCGGGGCGGGGCGGCCAAUGCCACCAGCACGCCGCACCCUCACUUGAUGAAAACAACUAAAACAAACAAGAGAGCACACUUUUCUCCCGUAGAUUACGGAAU